CCUACGGGGGGCUGCAGUGGGGAAUAUUGGACAAUGGGCGGAAGCCUGAUCCAGCCAUGCCGCGUGUGUGAAGAAGGCCUUUUGGUUGUAAAGCACUUUAAGCGAGGAGGAGGCUACUAGUACUAAUACUACUGGAUAGUGGACGUUACUCGCAGAAUAAGCACCGGCUAACUCUGUGCCAGCAGCCGCGGUAAUACAGAGGGUGCGAGCGUUAAUCGGAUUUCGUAGGCGUAAAGCUAAGUCGGAUGUGAAAUCCCCGAGCUUAACGUGGGAAUUGCAUUCGAUACUGGGAAGCUAGAGUAUGGGAGAGGAUGGUAGAAUUCCAGGUGUAGCGGUGAAAUGCGUAGAGAUCUGGAGGAAUACCGAUGGCGAAGGCAGCCAUCUGGCCUAAUACUGACGCUGAGGUACGAAAGCAUGGGGAGCAAACAGGAUUAGAUACCCGUGUAGUC
This 449-nucleotide ribosomal RNA is filed under the name uncultured bacterium. RNAcentral's name for it is "partial 16S ribosomal RNA". It matches the Rfam family "Bacterial small subunit ribosomal RNA", at positions 338 to 795 of the family's 1533-position model. The record is from RNAcentral.